Molecule: transfer RNA, 72 nt
Organism: Camelus ferus (Wild Bactrian camel)
Lineage: Eukaryota; Metazoa; Chordata; Mammalia; Artiodactyla; Camelidae
Rfam family: tRNA
About the family: Transfer RNA (tRNA) molecules are approximately 80 nucleotides in length. Their secondary structure includes four short double-helical elements and three loops (D, anti-codon, and T loops).
Source: Rfam
GAGGGUAUAGCUCAGUGGUAGAGUACAUGCCCAGCAUGCACGAGGUCCUGGGUUCAAUCUCCAGCAUCUUCA